Coturnix japonica (Japanese quail) is the source of this 715-nucleotide long non-coding RNA. RefSeq lists it as uncharacterized. The record is from RefSeq and is a predicted model, not a curated record. NCBI's taxonomy places the organism in Eukaryota, Metazoa, Chordata, Aves, Galliformes, Phasianidae.
UGUCAGUGAGAUUACCCUUUUCUCAGUCUAUCUUAUGAGUUUGUUUUCUCUUAGUCCUGCUACUGAUUUUGUUUUCAGGGUGGACUUGGUUGUCACUGUCUGCAGUGAGGAAGAGGUAUUCAGCAGUGUCCAUCCCAGAGGAUGAACAGAAGGAAAUCAUGGAACUACCCAUGGCUUUCUCAUCUCUCAGGAGACUCCACCAGGGAAUGAUCUGUCUCACAGACUUGAACCCUUGCAGUUUUCCCUGGUAUCCUGAAGAAGCAGCAUCUGCAGCAGUAAAUAAGAAAAGAUCAAAGAGGCACUCCUAGUAAUUUAUCCAGAUUAAAGAGUGGAACAACAACUGACCCUUUGUUAGACAUCAAAGCACGCUUCUGGGAGGACAGCUGGAAGACACAAGCCUGCAGAUUUACCAUCUCCUUUUGAUGUGCUGCUCAUAAGAUGGCAUAUUAUUCUUCCCUGCGCGCACAAAGACAAAGGUGGAAAUCACAGGUAGAUCUCACAUUACUGCAGUUUUGUAACCUGAGUCAUUUUUAUAAGGUCAUGACAAUAAUCUCAGCUUGUUAGGAUGGCAUCUUGGAAGAAUUAGGGCUGCUUUUUAGGUCUAGAUAAUUCUGUUAUUAUUUCUAUUUUAUGAUAUUUUUUUUCUUUUUGUAACAAGAAAUUACCCUGAAAAUCUAUCAUCCUGUAUUUAUAUCAUAGGACAGCCUGGGUUGAA